GGACCCGAGCGACGGAGGACUGACCAAAGAGAAGCGAAUUCUUUUUCUUGACAACGUUGCCAAUGGGAAAAUUCUUGGUUUCGAAGAAGAAGAACCCCGGAGGCGGAGGCGGUGGCUUUUCCUUGGAUCGGAGACGCAAACUAAGGAAACACACGUGUGCCCUGAGUUGGACCAAAUUGUGUCCAACUUUGCACAACGUCCACAGUGCAUGAAGACGUGGAAUCGGAAGGGACGAAGACGACACUGAGGCUUUUCCUAUCAUGGAAGCAUAGAUCAGUUUGGAAUGGAGAAGUGGUCCUGUAUGAGCCGUGACACACUACCGAUACGCACUCAGCAAACAGUGUACCUUCGAAAUCCUCCAGAAAGACAAUA
Ornithodoros turicata is the source of this 372-nucleotide long non-coding RNA. RefSeq lists it as uncharacterized. The record is from RefSeq and is a predicted model, not a curated record. NCBI's taxonomy places the organism in Eukaryota, Metazoa, Arthropoda, Arachnida, Ixodida, Argasidae. The transcript has 3 exons.